GGGACGUUAGCUCAGUCGGUAGAGCAGCGGACUUUUAAUCCGUUGGUCGGGAGUUCGAAUCUCCCACGUCCUACCA
RNAcentral lists this transfer RNA (76 nucleotides) under Candidatus Aalborgicola bjergmarkensis. RNAcentral describes it as "tRNA-Lys". It matches the Rfam family "tRNA". Rfam says of the family: Transfer RNA (tRNA) molecules are approximately 80 nucleotides in length. The record is from RNAcentral. Lineage: Bacteria; Pseudomonadati; Pseudomonadota; Betaproteobacteria; Burkholderiales; Comamonadaceae.